RNAcentral lists this ribosomal RNA (301 nucleotides) under uncultured bacterium. Its description in RNAcentral is "partial 16S ribosomal RNA". It matches the Rfam family "Bacterial small subunit ribosomal RNA", at positions 509 to 807 of the family's 1533-position model. The record is from RNAcentral.
CAGCAGCCGCGGGAAUACGAAGGGUGCGAGCGUUACUCGGAAUUACUGGGCGUAAAGCGUGCGUAGGUGGUGGUUUAAGUCCGUUGUGAAAGCCCUGGGCUCAACCUGGGAAUUGCAGUGGAUACUGGGUCACUAGAGUGUGGUAGAGGAUAGUGGAAUUUCCGGUGUAGCAGUGAAAUGCGUAGAGAUCGGAAGGAACAUCUGUGGCGAAGGCGACUAUCUGGGCCAACACUGACACUGAGGCACGAAAGCGUGGGGAGCAAACAGGAUUAGAUACCCCCGUAGUCCCUGUCUCUUAUAC